GGGGCGGUAGCUCAGCCGGGAGAGCGUCGCGUUCGCAAUGCGAAGGUCGUGGGUUCGAUCCCCAUCCGCUCCACCA
Molecule: transfer RNA, 76 nt
Filed under: Lysobacterales bacterium CG02_land_8_20_14_3_00_62_12
Lineage: Bacteria; Pseudomonadati; Pseudomonadota; Gammaproteobacteria; Lysobacterales
Also listed under: 4 other names
Description: Xanthomonadales bacterium CG02_land_8_20_14_3_00_62_12 tRNA-Ala
Rfam family: tRNA
About the family: Transfer RNA (tRNA) molecules are approximately 80 nucleotides in length.
Source: RNAcentral